CUGGACUUUAUAUUGCGAUAGGCAACUUUCAUAAAUUAGGUGCGUUAACGCCACGGACCUCGUUCAUCUUUCAGUCGCCCACAUGGGUAUAACCAAUGAGGAGAUGGGACGUGGGUACCUGCUUCUAUAAACCAAUGAGGAGAUGGGAGAGGCAGGACUUGUAGCGUGAUCUGCGUCACAAAUAGAAAUGACGUCUAUUUUAGCGCUUGGCAAAGGCAGACACUCGCGAGCAGUGUGGGUGCAAUAAUUGAAUAAUAUAGAUUUCUAAAUUUAUUUUACGACGUGAGCGGUGCACUCGGCCUGUCAGUUCUAUUUGUGACGCAGAUCGCGCUGCAAUUCCUGCCUCUCCCAUCUCCUCAUUGGUUGGACCAGUAACUGAAAGUUUGCAAGGUCGAAUCCCGGAGCUGACAAGGUGGUGCCAGCACAUGUGAAGAUCAAGAGGAGAGCAGCGACGAGGUGUUCAUCCACCAGGGCCUGCCCAGCCCUGGUGGAUGUCACUCAUUCAUGUGAGGUCAGCAAGAUCAGCUGUGGGUCCCGCCAUACUGCGGCAGUCACAAGUGAAUAUAGCCAGCUGGGACAGGGGACUGUG
This 589-nucleotide long non-coding RNA is filed under the name Salmo trutta (river trout). RNAcentral's name for it is "lncRNA (ENSSTUG00000046734.1)". The record is from RNAcentral. Lineage: Eukaryota; Metazoa; Chordata; Actinopteri; Salmoniformes; Salmonidae.